RNAcentral lists this ribosomal RNA (253 nucleotides) under uncultured bacterium. Its description in RNAcentral is "partial 16S ribosomal RNA". It matches the Rfam family "Bacterial small subunit ribosomal RNA", at positions 524 to 776 of the family's 1533-position model. The record is from RNAcentral.
GACGGAGGAUGCAAGUGUUAUCCGGAAUCACUGGGCGUAAAGCGUCUGUAGGUGGUUUAAAAAGUCCACUGUUAAAAAUUGAAGCUUAACUUCAAAGAUGCCGUGGAAACUUUUAAACUUGAGUAUGAUAGGGGUAGAGGGAAUUUCCAGUGGAGCGGUGAAAUGCGUAGAGAUCGGAAAGAACACCAACGGCGAAAGCACUCUGCUGGGCCGACACUGACACUGAGAGACGAAAGCUAGGGGAGCGAAUGGG